Molecule: transfer RNA, 75 nt
Filed under: bacterium
Lineage: Bacteria
Description: tRNA-Val
Rfam family: tRNA
About the family: Transfer RNA (tRNA) molecules are approximately 80 nucleotides in length. Their secondary structure includes four short double-helical elements and three loops (D, anti-codon, and T loops). Further hydrogen bonds mediate the characteristic L-shaped molecular structure. tRNAs have two regions of fundamental functional importance: the anti-codon, which is responsible for specific mRNA codon recognition, and the 3' end, to which the tRNAs corresponding amino acid is attached (by aminoacyl-tRNA synthetases). tRNAs cope with the degeneracy of the genetic code in two manners: having more than one tRNA (with a specific anti-codon) for a particular amino acid; and 'wobble' base-pairing, i.e. permitting non-standard base-pairing at the 3rd anti-codon position.
Source: RNAcentral
GGACAAGUAGCUCAGCUGGUCCAGAGCGCUUCGUUGACAUCGAAGAGGUCGCAGGUUCGAAUCCUGUCUUGUCCA